Molecule: ribosomal RNA, 217 nt
Filed under: uncultured Dechloromonas sp.
Lineage: Bacteria; Pseudomonadati; Pseudomonadota; Betaproteobacteria; Rhodocyclales; Azonexaceae
Description: partial 16S ribosomal RNA
Rfam family: Bacterial small subunit ribosomal RNA
Source: RNAcentral
GUCGACGAUUACUCCUACGGGAGGCAGCAGUGGGGAAUUUUGGACAAUGGGCGCAAGCCUGAUCCAGCCAUGCCGCGUGAGUGAAGAAGGCCUUCGGGUUGUAAAGCUCUUUCGGCCGGGAAGAAAUCGCAUGGGUUAAUACCCUGUGCGGAUGACGGUACCGGCAUAAGAAGCACCGGCUAACUACGUGCCAGCAGCCGCGGUAAUAAUCUCUAGA